CAGAGUUGCAAAACUCCCUAAACCAUUGUGAACCUUACCUUCAACCGUUGCUUCGGCGGGCGGGCCACCGCGCCCCCCGGGCCCCUAGCGGGCGCCCGCCGGAGGAUACCCAAACCCUUGAUACUUUAUGGCCUCUCUGAGUCUUCUGUACUGAAUAAGUCA
Molecule: unclassified non-coding RNA, 162 nt
Filed under: uncultured Ascomycota
Lineage: Eukaryota; Fungi; Ascomycota
Description: sequence contains ITS1
Source: RNAcentral